Molecule: ribosomal RNA, 486 nt
Filed under: uncultured bacterium
Lineage: Bacteria
Description: partial 16S ribosomal RNA
Rfam family: Bacterial small subunit ribosomal RNA
Source: RNAcentral
AUUGAACGCUGGCGGCAUGCCUUACACAUGCAAGUCGAACGGCAGCACGGGUGCUUGCACCUGGUGGCGAGUGGCGAACGGGUGAGUAAUACAUCGGGACAUGUCCUGUAGUGGGGGAUAGCCCGGCGAAAGCCGGAUUAAUACCGCAUACGAUCUACGGAUGAGAGCGGGGGACCUUCGGGCCUCGCGCUAUAGGGUUGGCCGAUGGCUGAUUAGCUAGUUGGUGGGGUAAAGGCCUACCAAGGCGACGAUCAGUAGCUGGUCUGAGAGGACGACCAGCCACACUGGGACUGAGACACGGCCCAGACUCCUACGGGAGGCAGCAGUGGGGAAUUUUGGACAAUGGGCGAAAGCCUGAUCCAGCAAUGCCGCGUGUGUGAAGAAGGCCUUCGGGUUGUAAAGCACUUUUGUCCGGAAAGAAAUCCUUGGCCCUAAUACGGUCGGGGGAUGACGGUACCGGAAGAAUAAGCACCGGCUAACUACGUG